Microcebus murinus (gray mouse lemur) is the source of this 1878-nucleotide long non-coding RNA. RefSeq lists it as uncharacterized. The record is from RefSeq and is a predicted model, not a curated record. NCBI's taxonomy places the organism in Eukaryota, Metazoa, Chordata, Mammalia, Primates, Cheirogaleidae.
CUUGCGGUCAGGGGUGGUCACGUGACAAAUUUGGACCAGUAAGAGUGGACUCGGAGUCUCUGUCGGAGAAGAAAAGCUCUAACUUUAACCUGGCUGGACGGUAACCGGUGAGGAUGCGGGUCUGGAACUGUGGGCGACCACAGGGAACCUGAAAAGAAAGCACACAAGGAAGAAGCCAGACUGGAGAAACGGAAAGACCAUGCGCUGAUGACACAGUUGAGCCCUUGAAUCCAGCUGGGAGCCAGACCUGGCAUUUUUGAAUAGGUUUUUUUUUUUUUUUCCUGUUACUUUUAAAUAAAACGGAUGCAGACGUUAGUUCCGGGAGUGGGGGUGCGCAAGUGGGAGAUCACACCCGUGUGACGGCUGAGUGGGCGUGCCGGGCUGUGGGGACGCAGGCACCAUGGCUGAGAAGUUGGAGUCCUUGUUAAACAGAAGUGACUUUCAGUAAGGCGCUAUUAGAAAGUGACAAGCUCAGGGUGAAACUGGCUUGCUUGAAAGCGGAUGGCAUUUACAGUAGGCUUUACCGAGAGAGCCACUUCCUGCCUAUGACUGAAAGCAGCAGCAGCCAGAAAUGUGCAGGAAUGCAGGGUCGGAAAGCUAAAUGGUGUUUUCCAACCCCAAAUUAGUGUGAGUUAAGACAGGAGAGUGGGCACCUUGGGAACAUGCAGGUUCCCACUGCCCUUCCCAGGCACCUUCUAUGAUGAGCCCCCAGCUCAAUGCAGGGGACGCAACUGGAGUCGAGGGGCCAAAUAAUCCCCUCCCCUCCCCCAGGGAAGGUGGAGCUGGGAGGCAAGGCUGCUGGCUGGGGGCGGCGCAGAGUGCUGCCCAGCUGGGGCUUCAUGUACUAACCCACAGGGCAGCCAACUGAAGAUCCGAGAGAAUUAUUCUACAAGAGAAACACCAAAUCUGUCAAAUAACAUAUCUAAGAUGCCCAUCAUUUACUAAAGAUCUGAGCAAAUUAUUCUACAAGAGAAACACCAAAGCUGUCAAAUAAUCUAUCUAAGAUGCCCAUCAUUUAAGGCAAUCAAUCCACAAGUCCCCACUAGCCCUUCAAGUAGAGAGCUUCUUUCCAGAAGUUUCAUCUUCCCCGUUGUAUAUCCCAGGCGUGGCCUUGGAAGACAACGAACAAGGGACAUCUCCCAGAAAUCACGCUGGAGGACAAAGAACCUCACUUCCUGCCAGGAUAUGCAGUGACGACUAUCUGACUGCACCUAAUGAAAAUGAAAUUUGGCUUCGGGAACACUCAGCUUGAGUAUGGAACGUCUUGUUCUCUUUGUCAGUCUGGCUUAUCUCCUCUUCGAAGAGCUCACUGAUUUGUCAUACGCGUCAAAGUGCUGGAGUCUUCUGCCACUAAUUGGCUGUGCUAUUGACAUGACACAAUGAAAAAGGCAGAAAUGGAGGGAUGCAGAGAUGAAAGCCAGGGAGAAGGAGGCUGCUGCAGACCCCAACUGCUGUGGAAGUAUGAGAAAUGCAGAGGGUUUAGCCCUCCUGGUACCCUGCAAAACACGGAUUGAAUAACGGUCAUGUGCUGGGAGCCGACAACACAUAGAGGCGGUGGAUGAACGAGGCCUUCGUGCCAGGAGCCGGCACACGUGAAGCUGCCUUCCCCAGGAGGUCGCCUCAUGCCCAAGUUUUGAUUCUGCUGUGUAUUUUUUUUUUUUUUAAGGCAUCAGAUUUCUAAUGAAAGAGCUCAGCCGAUCUCUGCAGUUGCACAGAAGAGAUGAUAGUAAUCUCGCAUGUAGCCUCGCUUCCUGAGCUGUCCCCUUGGAUUCUUGUAUCUUGGAGUCCUCAAUGCUCUGUCAACACCCAAGCAGAGCCUCCACCCCCUCUCUGGUCCCAAGAUGCUGGGUUAUUAUAAAUGAGUCGUGACGUCUGGGA